GACGAACGCUGGCGGCGUGUUUAAGACAUGCAAGUCGCACGGGAUAAGACAUGUAGUAAUACUUGCUUUAUUUAGUGGCGCACGGGUGAGUAACACGUGAAUUACAUGCCCUAUAGUAGGGAAUAGCCCAGGGAAACUUGGAUUAAUACCCCAUGGUAUCGAAAGAUUGAAGGUGGCCGCAAGGCUGUCGCUAUAGGAUUGGUUCGCGCCCUAUCAGCUUGUUGGUGAGGUAACGGCUCACCAAGGCAAUGACGGGUACCUGGUCUGAGAGGACGAUCAGGCACACUGGAACUGAGACACGGUCCAGACACCUACGGGUGGCAGCAGUCGAGAAUAAUUCACAAUGGGGGCAACCCUGAUGGUGCAACGCCGCGUGGAGGAUGACGGUCUUCGGAUUGUAAACUCCUGUCAUCUGGGAGAAAGACCUGACGGUAAAUAGCCGGCAGGGUUGAUAGUACCAGAAGAGGAAGGGACGGCUAACUUCGUGCCAGCAGCCGCAGUAA
This 503-nucleotide ribosomal RNA is filed under the name uncultured bacterium. Its description in RNAcentral is "partial 16S ribosomal RNA". It matches the Rfam family "Bacterial small subunit ribosomal RNA", at positions 28 to 523 of the family's 1533-position model. The record is from RNAcentral.